Apis mellifera (honey bee) is the source of this 326-nucleotide long non-coding RNA. RefSeq lists it as uncharacterized. The transcript has 2 exons. The record is from RefSeq and is a predicted model, not a curated record. NCBI's taxonomy places the organism in Eukaryota, Metazoa, Arthropoda, Insecta, Hymenoptera, Apidae.
GAAACUAGUAAUAAUAUAAUGCCAAAUUUUAAAUUGUAUCAAUCAAAUUUUAAAUUUUUAUUACAAAUAUAAAUAGAGAAUAUUUGAAUGACUUCAUCAAGAUCCAUAAGUUAUAGACAUGACAUAUAAAGGUUAUUGUAUAAGAAUAUGAUUAUGCCAUUUAUAUCCAUAAUGGAAAAUUAUAUCGUGAACUUCGUUGUCUUGUUGGGAAGGAAUUUCGUAUGGUGGAUCAGAAGAAUAUUUGAUUGGUGUUACAUUCUGUAGGAAAAGUAUAUAAUUUUAUGUAUUAAAUAAUAAUGAAUAAAAUAAACAAUAAGAAUAUUAAA